Long non-coding RNA from Suricata suricatta (meerkat), 214 nucleotides. RefSeq lists it as uncharacterized. The record is from RefSeq and is a predicted model, not a curated record. The transcript is spliced from 2 exons. Lineage: Eukaryota; Metazoa; Chordata; Mammalia; Carnivora; Herpestidae.
CUCUGCCAGAACUUGGAUUUUAGACUUCUGGCCUCCAGAGGGAUGCAAGAAUAAACUGUCAUCUGAAGCCACCAGCUUCCUGUGCAUCUAUUCAGAUUAUGAAGAAAGUUCCUGGAUCUCAUUCAGUAAGAAUCCAGCUGGAGACCAUUUUUAAAUUAAUAUGCAGCUGAUAUGCACAUUAAAUUUAUCAAUCAUUAAAAAAGAAUUAUAAUGA